RNAcentral lists this long non-coding RNA (1353 nucleotides) under Podarcis muralis (Common wall lizard). Its description in RNAcentral is "lncRNA (ENSPMRG00000021669.1)". The record is from RNAcentral. Lineage: Eukaryota; Metazoa; Chordata; Lepidosauria; Squamata; Lacertidae.
AUGGCCUCCAUGGGGCUGUCCCUGAAUAAGUCUGGCCCAACCCAUAGCCACGGACAUGCCUUGGACCUGGUGUUUACCUCUAUGGAUGUUGGUGAUCUGACACUAAGUAAAAGCGAAAUGAAAGAAGUGCCAUGGUCAGAUCACUUCCUGGUGCAACUGGACUUCUCUGCGACCCAUCCCCUCUGCAGGGAGGUGGGACCAAUUCGGAUGGUCCGCCCCCGCCACUUAAUGGAUCCAAAUGGUUUCCAGAGAGUGGUAGGGGAUGCUUUAUCCCAUGUUGAUGGCCUUUCAGUUGAUUCCCUGGUGGCCCGCUGGAAUGUGGAGUUAACCAGGGCUAUUGACUGUUUGGCUCCGAAGCGCCCUCUCCGAUUGCAUGGAGCCCGGACAGCCCCGUGGUUUUCCACGGAGCUGAGGGCAAUGAAACAAUCGUUGAGACGGCUAGAGCGCCGGUGGCGGAUAACUCAUUCCGAAUCUGACCGGACACAGGUUAGAGCUCAACGUCGAGCCUACCAAGUGGCGAUAGCGACGGCGAAGAAGAAUUUCUUCACCGCCUCUAUUGCAUCUGCAGAAAACAGCAGCAGGAGACUUUUUCAGGUGGUUCACAAUUUAGCGGAACCACCUGCAACAUCGGGGCCCAGUACGGGCCACACGUUCUCCUGCAAUGAUUUUGCAAAGUUUUUUGCAGAUAAAAUCGCUCAGAUUCGGGAAGAAGUAGACUCCACCGUGGGAGCAGGGCCGGGGCGGGAGAGUGCUAGAGUUCUGUCUAGUCAAGUUGAGUGGGAUCAAUUCCAAUCUGUUACCUCCGAGGAUGUGGACAGGCUGCUUGGACGAGUGAAACCAACCACCUGUCUCCUGGAUCCUUGCCCAUCCUGGCUUAUAAAAGCUAGCCGGGAAGGACUGGGCGAUGGGCUUCGUGGGGUGGUGAAUGCUUCCCUCCGUGAGGGAGCCUUCCCAGACCCGCUGAAAGAGGCGGUUAUUAAACCGCUUCUUAAAAAGCCAUCUUUAGAUGCGGCCACGAUGGCCAACUAUCGCCCAGUCUCAAAUCUUCCAUUCUUGGGCAAGGUGAUUGAGCGAGCGGUUGCCGAACAACUCCAGGCACGCCUGGAAGAAGCGGACCAUUUGGAUCCCUUCCAGUCGGGAUUCAGGCCUCAUCAUGGGACUGAAACUGCCUUGGUCGCACUGGUUGAUGAUCUCCAGCGGGCUAGGGACAAAGGUGAGAGCUGUUUCCUAGUUCUGCUGGAUCUCUCAGCGGCGUUUGAUACCAUCGACCAUAACAUCCUUCUGGACCAUCUUCAGGGGCUGGGAGCUGGAGGCACUUUUAUACAGUGUUCAGAAAGUGGUGGUGGGGGAUGA